GUUCUCUUUGGCAGCACAUAUACUAAAAUUGGAACAAUACAGAGAAGAUGAGCAUGGCCUGUGUACAAGUAUGACAUGCACAUUCGUGAAGCAUUUCAUAUUUUU
Molecule: small nuclear RNA, 105 nt
Organism: Choloepus hoffmanni (Hoffmann's two-fingered sloth)
Lineage: Eukaryota; Metazoa; Chordata; Mammalia; Pilosa; Megalonychidae
Source: Ensembl